RNAcentral lists this ribosomal RNA (253 nucleotides) under uncultured bacterium. RNAcentral's name for it is "partial 16S ribosomal RNA". It matches the Rfam family "Bacterial small subunit ribosomal RNA", at positions 524 to 776 of the family's 1533-position model. The record is from RNAcentral.
UACGUAGGGGGCAAGCGUUGUCCGGAAUCAUUGGGCGUAAAGAGCGUGUAGGCGGCCCGGUAAGUCCGCUGUGAAAGUCCAGGGCUCAACCCUGGGAUGCCGGUGGAUACUGUCGGGCUCGAGUCCGGAAGAGGAGUGUGGAAUUCCUGGUGUAGCGGUGAAAUGCGUAGAUAUCGGGAGGAACAUCAGUGGCGAAGGCGGCCCUCUGGUCCAGUACUGACACUCAAGUGCGAAAGCGUGGGGAGCAAACAGG